This 259-nucleotide ribosomal RNA is filed under the name uncultured archaeon. Its description in RNAcentral is "partial 16S ribosomal RNA". It matches the Rfam family "Archaeal small subunit ribosomal RNA", at positions 748 to 1008 of the family's 1478-position model. The record is from RNAcentral.
AGGGUGUAAACGCUGCGGACUUGGUGUUGGAAGCCCUUUGGGGGCAUUCAGUGCCGGAGAGAAGUUGUUAAGUCUGCUACUUGGGAGUACGUCCGCAAGGAUGAAACUUAAAGGAAUUGGCGGGGGAGCACCGCAACGGGAGGAGCGUGCGGUUUAAUUGGAUUCAACACCGUAAACUCACCAGGGAAGACUGUUACAUGAAGGCCGAGAUGAAGACUCUGCUAGAUUUUCAGAGAGGUGGUGCAUGGCGUCAGUGACU